Molecule: ribosomal RNA, 1520 nt
Filed under: Clostridium perfringens
Lineage: Bacteria; Bacillati; Bacillota; Clostridia; Eubacteriales; Clostridiaceae
Description: partial 23S ribosomal RNA
Rfam family: Bacterial large subunit ribosomal RNA
Source: RNAcentral
AAAGUGGAGGCUAUUGUAACUGAAGAGAACUGGAAAGUUCCACCGUAGAAGGUAAUAGUCCUGUAAGUGAAACGAGAAGACCACGAGUUAUGAUCCAGAGUACCACGAGACACGUGAAACCUUGUGGGAAGCAGGGAGGACCACCUCCCAAGGCUAAAUACUACCUGAUGACCGAUAGUGAAGCAGUACCGUGAGGGAAAGGUGAAAAGAACCCCGGGAGGGGAGUGAAAUAGAACCUGAAACCGUGUGCCUACAACCGCUCAGAGCCCCUUAUGAGGGUGAUGAGGUGCUUUUUGUAGAACGAGCCAACGAGUUACGGUAUGUAGCAAGGUUAAGUACUUAAGGUACGGAGCCGAAGGGAAACCGAGUCUGAAUAGGGCGACUAGUUGCAUGCCGUAGACCCGAAACCGGGUGACCUAUCCAUGGCCAGGUUGAAGCGAGGGUAAAACCUCGUGGAGGACCGAACCACGUUGCUGUUGAAAAAGCAUGGGAUGAGCUGUGGAUAGCGGAGAAAUUCCAAUCGAACCCGGAGAUAGCUGGUUCUCUCCGAAAUAGCUUUAGGGCUAGCGUCGAGUAUGAGUAGUGGAGGUAGAGCACUGAAUGGGCUAGGGGGCAUAGCGCUUACCGAACCUUAUCAAACUCCGAAUGCCACAUACUUUGAGCUCGGCAGUCAGACUACGAAUGAUAAGAUCCGUGGUCAAAAGGGAAACAGCCCAGAUCGUCAGCUAAGGUCCCAAAGUGUAAGUUAAGUGGGAAAGGAUGUGAGAUUUCUAAGACAACUAGGAUGUUGGCUUAGAAGCAGCCAUUCAUUAAAAGAGUGCGUAAUAGCUCACUAGUCGAGAGAUCUUGCGCCGAAAAUGUAACGGGGCUAAACUUACCACCGAAGCUACGGGCUUGAACUUAGUUCAAGCGGUAGGAGAGCGUCGUAACCGGGCUGAAGUCGUACCGUAAGGAGCGGUGGACUGGUUACGAGUGAGAAUGUUGGCAUCAGUAGCGAGAUGUGGGUGAGAAUCCCACAGGCCGAAAACCUAAGGUUUCCUCAGGAAGGUUCGUCCGCUGAGGGUUAGUCGGGACCUAAGCCGAGGCCGAAAGGCGUAGGUGAUGGACAACUGGUUGAUAUUCCAGUACCACUACCAUCGUUAUUAUCGAUGGCGUGACGCAGGAGGAUAGUGUGUGCUAGCUAUUGGAUGCUAGUCUAAGCGUUUAGGCAGUGAGAGUAGGCAAAUCCGCUCUCAUAAUGCUGAGGCGUGAUGGGGAAGGUUCUACGGAACCGAAGUACAUGAUUCCACGCUGCCAAGAAAAGCGUCUAGAGAGAGAAGUAGUGCCCGUACCGCAAACCGACACAGGUAGGUGAGGAGAGAAUCCUAAGGCCGGCGGAAGAAUUACAGUUAAGGAACUCGGCAAAUUGACCCCGUAAGUUCGCGAGAAGGGGUGCCUACGAGAGUAGGCCGCAGAGAAUAGGCCCAAGCAACUGUUUAGCAAAAACACAGGUCUCUGCUAAAGCGUAAGCUGAUGUAUAG